RNAcentral lists this unclassified non-coding RNA (246 nucleotides) under uncultured Lasiosphaeriaceae. Its description in RNAcentral is "sequence contains ITS2". The record is from RNAcentral. Lineage: Eukaryota; Fungi; Ascomycota; Sordariomycetes; Sordariales; Lasiosphaeriaceae.
AACGCACAUUGCGCCCGCCAGCACUCUGGCGGGCAUGCCUGUUCGAGCGUCAUUUCAACCAUCAAGCCCCAGGCUUGCGUUGGAGCCCUGCGGCUGCCGCAGCCUCCUAAAAGCAGUGGCGGGCUCGCUAUCACACCGAGUGCAGUAGAUUACUCUUCGCUCAGGGCGUGUGGCGGGUUCCAGCCGUGAAACCCCCUACUUCUCAAGGUUGACCUCGGAUCAGGUAGGAAUACCCGCUGAACUUAA